UCCCAAAGUAAGGAUGUGUUUCCUUUUGUGACACAGACACACAACUAGCUGUUUACAUGCUAGCAACUUAUAGGCUCUGUGGCAGUAAGACUUAUUCUCAGCAGGGUCCCUCUAGGACAGACCAGUGGGCUAGCUGAAUCAUGACUGGUUUAGGAGACCAGUUCUUUCUCUGUCAUCAGGUUGGCCUGGACACAAAUUUAGAAAUGGAAAGAGCUUCAGGUCCUGGAAAUGCAAGAGGAGGUGACCUGGAUGUUCUGGGCUGUACUCUCCUCAGUAGAAGGUCCAAAGACUGUCUCUGUGUAUCAGCAGAGUGUCUGGGGUUUGCUCAUCUCCUUUAUGGGCAACUUCUGUCCUACGCUCAGGCUGCAGCAGAAAUGCUGACCAGGCACCCAGGUGCAGAUGGGCUCUGACCUCCAGGCUGCAAGGUUGAUCAUCCCAACCCUGCUCACUGUGGUGUCCCUUCACAUCGGGGCUCCAGCCCGUGCAAGCUAAGAACUCAAGCACUAUAUUGAACAAGCAUGGAGAGAGUGGACAUCCUUGUCUUUGUUCCUGACACAGAGAAGUCGAAUUGGUGCCUAGCUGGAAGUUUCACCCGUCCUGACCAGUGUUCAUCGUACUAGAAGGCACUCUGCAUACUACCAGAGGAAGGCAAUCAGCAGUACCACCCAGCUACAAGCCCUGUGACCUACAACAGCAACCUACUUGUAAGAUACACUGGCACAAUCGUGGCACAGAUGUUAUGGGAGUGACCAACCACCUGUCUAUUGCAUUUACGGUCCAUCGCUGUAGUAAUGGCCAGUUAAAUACUCAAAUUGGUCCUGGUGAUGGCGGCAGAGCUCUUCGCUACCUGCCCCGAUGUUUUCGGUUUUUGAAUCACACACACACACGCACACACACACACACACACACACACACACACACACACACACACAGCCUUUAUUCUUUGAUAUGUCUGAAAUAGCUCAAUGGUUGGGCCACUUCCUAACCUCUAUGUGGCUAGUCUACCUUUCUCCCAUAUUCCCAAACCAUUACUUACUAAGAUCUGUAGUCUAUCUUUGCUGCCCCGGACCCAGUCAGGCAGCCCUCUUGGGGCCAUUCUUCCCCAGCUCCUACAUGGCAGCUAUAUUCUCUGUCCUGUACCUUCUCAGUCACGGUGUCUUUCCUUUCCUUCUCCUGGUGUAGAGGAUCUCUUCCUUCCUCUUUCUCUCUGUCCCUUGUCCAGGGAAUCCUAAAACUCUCUCCUCUGUCUCUCAGCUCAGCCAUUGGCCUCUGGCAACUUUAUUUAUUAAUCCAAACCAACUGGGGGCAGGGUUCCCCCAGUGUCUUAUGUGCAGAUGUCUGGAUUCUCGUGUAAUUUUGGGGACACAAAUUAAAACAAUACACGCAGCAUUAGACCAAACCCACCACACACUGUAGGCAUACAUUUUCUCAACCGACUUUAAUAAGUGUUCAGCCUCCCCUCUAGCCCACCACUCACCAGAGGUGGUGGAAAAGAAAGGUUUUUAGGACACGGGGGAAGUAGACUGGUUUAGAAAUAGUUCUCUGGGGGUGAGUCCAAUCUUCAUUGUCAGGAUAUCAGUAGUUCAGCCCAAUAGUACACACUAACUAUGAACCAGCAGCUUCAGUCCACUUGGCAGUCACCACCCGUGAACCAGCACCUGUAGCUCAAUCCAGAAGAAACCGCAAGGCUCUUCCACCAGCCCGAGGCUGUGGAAGUGGCAAGAAGCCAUAGGAACCUCAGAGAAGUCCUUUGUGAGCCAAUCCAUGCAUCUCAUUAGCAAAGAAUAGGGAGGCGGGGCAAAGCAAACCAGUGCUGUGGCUCCCACUGUCUGUGGGGUCAUAUCUAUAUCCCUUCUUAACAUCAUGUGCCCUUUCAUAUGUUUUCUAUAGCAAAACAUCCUUCCACCUGUGUCUGAUUCAGGAAAACAUUCUUGCACGUGUCUGCUUUAGCAAAAAAAAAAAAAAAAAAAAAAUCCUUUCACCUGUGUGUCCCAGCAAAACAUCAUUUGAUACAAUUGACUUUCCAAAGGUAACAGAAGUUUCUACUUCAGUCCACUCCAUUAAGUGGAACCUAUACCUGGCGUUGCUAAACUGUCCAAGGAACACCAGGCUAAUUAGGUCACGGGCCCAGGGGAAACCCCAAUACAAUUAUUCUGCUAAAGGGGUGUACCAAUAACGUGACCCCUAAUGGCUCACUGCUAUGCUUAGAGAUCAGUGCCUGGCUCAACCCAUAUCAGGGAAGCUUCCUGCAGUAGAUGGGAACGGAUACAGAGAUUCACAACCGGAAACUAUGCAGAAAGUGAGGGACUUUAAAGCACUGAGCGCCGAAUGGGAUGUCUUCAUCAAUCUCCUCCCCUCAGGGCCAGGGAUCUGUGAAGAAGAGGAGGCCAGAGGUUGUUAGAGCCAGGGGCAGUGGAUUACUCAGAGAAAGCAGUGUCUUUCAGACUCAAAAGGACCAAGGCACUUAUGGCCUCCCAGUGACUGUUGGCAUGCACAAGGCCUGCACAGGUCCAAGUCGGCCAGAGUCACAGGACUCAGAGGGGGAAUUGGACACGGGUUUCAGCCCUAACCAAGAAGCUGUUUGCAAUUGAUAUCUGAUGGCAGGGAAAAUCAGUUCUCUUCCGUGGAGUACCACAGGGUGUAACAACCACACUCCAGGUCAUGCCCAGGAUAGUUGGCUAACACAAAAUGAACUCAGCUGCAUGGUUUGGGUUUGUUUUGAGCUCCUUUUCCCUCUUCAAGACAGGGUUUCUCUGUGUCGCCCUGGCUGUCCUGGAACUCUCUCUGUAGACCAGGCUGGCCUCGAACUCACAGAGAUCCGCCUGCCUCUGCUUCCAAAGUGUGAGAUCAAAGGCGUGCGCCGCCACCGCCUGGCUUUGCUUGGGUAUUUUUGUCUUAAUGUUUGUUUUUGUGGGUUUUUAGUAAUCUUUUUGUUUUGUUUGUGAGAGAUAGGGUAGCCAUUUUAAAUCCCCACCCUGGGUUUCCACCCUGCCUUAGACCAUUGAGUUCCCAGAUAAAAUACACACAACUUUUAUAUUCAGAAUAAGCCUUAAUCAGGACUAGAGGUGGGCAGAUAAUUACCCUCUAAUCCGUUGGAAUCUAUUUUCCUAUCAAUAACCCUGAAUUACUACUUACUACUUACUGUAUGUUUCAUGUGGGCUGCUCUUAACUCCAAUUGGCCAGCCUUCAGGACCACAUUUUUAUGGCUCACCUAACCCAUGGCGGCUUCUCCUUCUUCCUCCUGCACCUUGUUCUUCCUCCUGAUUCUCCUCUGACCCCAAGCCCAGGAAACGUAAACCUUACCUAUGUCUCUUCUGCCAGCUAUUGGUUGUUGGCAUCUUUCUUGAUCAACAGAAAUAACUUGGGGGCGGGGUCACAGAGUCACUUGGGUCUACCUGCAGACUCCAGGCUUGGGGCUCUGCCCUUAGCAUUAAAAUAGACAGCAAAGCCAAACCUCAGAGUGGGAGGAGAGAAAGAGAGCUGGGCAUGGAGAUGGGAAGGGUCUUGGAGAAGUUGGGAGAGGAGAGAACAUAAUGUAUAAAAGUUUUCAAAAUUAAAAAAAUAUAUGAAGCGAGAGAGGGUUGUACACAGCAUGGGUUUGUAUACUUAGCUGAUGAGAUUUUCAUGAGGGACCUAAAGAUAAUCUGGGCAGGUGGGUGUGUUUAUAUGUCUUCCCUAAAGUCUAUAAAGCAAGUUAUAUAACAUAUACAACCUGAAGUGUAUUUAGAACAACUCAAAUAUACACUUCAGUGGUAUUAAUUACAUUAGGAUGCUGUGCCCUGUCACAACUCUUUCUAGAAUUUGUCAUCACAACAGGCUUUCUGUUGCCAGGAAACAGUGACACCCUAUGGCUGCCCUAUUUCAGCCCCUGCAAACCUGGAAUUGACUUGCCGCUUAUGACUUUGUAUAUUUUUUAUAUUUUAUUUAUUUGUAAUUAUAUAACGAAUCCCAUUUCGUUUCUGACUUAUUUCACUCAGGUGUUUUUAGAUAGGCUUAAGUUGCAGACUGCAUCUGAACUUUGUCUCUUAUUUUUUAAAAAUUUAUUUAUUUUAUGUGAGUGCACUGUCGCUGUCUUCAGACACACCAGAAGAGAGCAUCAGAUCCCGUUACAGAUGGUUGUGAGCCACCGUGUGGUUGCUGGGAAUUGAACUCAGGACCUCUGGAAGAGCAGUCAGUGCUCUUAACCACUGAGCCAUCUCUUUAGCCAGAACUUUUUUAAAAAAUUUAUUCCCUUCUCAUACAUUACACCCCGACUGCAGUUUCCUCUCUUCCCAGUCCCCUCCCUACCUCUAUCCCCCAGAUCCAUUCUUCCUCCAUCUCCCUUCAGAGCAGUGCAGGCCUUCCAGGGAUAUCAACCAAACACAGCAUAACAAGUUACAGUAAGACUGGCACAGACUCUAAUAUCAGGGCUGGGCAAGGCAACCAGUAGGAGGAAAAUGGUCCCCAGAGUAGGCAAUAGAGUCAGAGACACCCUCACUUUCACUGUGAGGAGUCCCAAAGGAAUCCAAAGCUACCCAAAGCUAGGUCAGACUCAUGUAGGCUCCCUGAUUUUCAAUUCAGUCUCUGUGAGCCCCUGUGAGCCCUGGUUAGUUGAUACUGUGGGCCGUGUUCUCACGGUCUUCUCAACCCCUGUCUCCUACAAUCUUCCCUCCCCUACUUCUUCAAGAUUUUCCUUCCCUCCUUCCUAUCUAUCUAUCUAUCUAUCUAUCUAUCCAUCCAUCCAUGCAUAGAGUGUACUUUGAUGAAAUCACCCUCCUAUUUUACCCCCCCAUCCUUCCUUUGUUUGCCCCCUUUACCUCUCUGUGUCUCUGUCAGGCACCUCUGCUCUCACCUCCUUCCCACCCUGUAUGUUCUAUGAAUGAGGGAGAAUUUUUGAGACGUGUCUGAGUAUGGCUUAUUUUGCUUAAUGUUUUGUUCUCUAGUUUCAUCUAGUUCUCUGCAAAUGAUGCAAUUUCCGUCUUUUUGGCUGAAUGAUACCCCAUUGUGAAUAUAUUCCACAUUUUCACUUAAAAACUACCUAUUUACUAGUCAAUUGAUUGAUUGAUCAAUGUAUGUGCACAUACAUGUGUGCGUGCAUGCAUGCGUGUGGGUACAUCUAGAUCCCAGUGCCUUACAAAUGCAGGACAAGCACUGCACCACUGAGUUAUAUUCAUAGCCCUCAUAAUUUAAUAUUUUUGUACUGAUGUAGGGAGUCUGGUUUUGUUGCUCAGCAUGGCUUCAGAUUACCAGGCUUCAGCAAUCUUCUCUCUUCAGCCCCCUGGGUAGCUGAAAUUACAGCUGGUUGCAAGUGGAUGUGGGUAAAUGAGUGCAUUUAUGUGAUAAUCCCCCUGAGUAGGUUAUAAAAUAUUUCCAUCACUACGAAGUUCGAGUCCCCUCGAAGUUAAUUCCACUCUUAGGUUUGAAUUCUCAGCAUCAUUGAUUACACCUGUCUAUGAAUUGCACACAUGAAUGCACACACACAGGUACACACACACACACACACACGAAAUGAGAAGAUGGUCUUGAGAGUUGUGGUGGACAGAGCAAGGUCACUCAGUGGUGACCAUUAUAAAGGCUGGGGGUGGAGUAUGUGUCAAGUCCUAAAUAUGUGUGUUCAACCCUGCAUAAGUCUCUCCACUAUGGCAAAGACUUAAGGCAUUUAAGUGGUGUUCCUUUGUAUCCAGCUUGUUUUGAAUGAUAUAUUUUCAGAGUCCAUAUUUUUUAUCUUUAUUAACUUGAGUAUUUCUUAUUUACAUUUCGAUUGUUAUUCCCCUUCCCGGUUUCCGGGCCAACAUCCCCCUAACCCCUCCCCCUCCCCUUCUAUAUGGGUGUUCCCCUCCCCAUCCUCCCCGAAUUACCACCUUCCCCCAAACAAUCACGUUCACUAGGGGUUCAGUCUUGGCAGGACCAAGGGCUUCCCCUUCCACUGGUGCUCUUACUAGGCUAUUCAUUGCUACCUAUGAGGUUGGAGCCCAGGGUCAGUCCAUGUAUAGUCUUUGGGUAGUGGCUUAGUCCCUAGAAGUUCUGGUUGGUUGGCAUUGUUGCUCAUAAGGGGUCUCAAGCCCCUUCAAGCUCUUCCAGUCCUUUCUUCAGAGUCCAUUUUAAGAAAAGAUUGAGUCUUUGCUUCUGUUUCUUGAGAUGGUCUGGAAAGAACAGACUCAUUUGAUCCCACUGAGCCCAGCAAUAUCCAUCCGUUAUAUUUUCAAGAAUUUGAGCCCAUUAACUGCAGACCAGCAUCAAAGUCUUAGCGAGACCAUGGAGACAGGAAUAUAUCUCAAUGUAAUAAGGCCAUAUACAACAUGCCUUCAGCCAGCAUCAUGCUAUAUGGAGGGAAAAGCUCAAAGCAUAUCCCACAAGGAUAUCUGCUUUCUCCACUCCUGUUCCGUCUAGUGCUUGAAGUUUCGGCCGGAGAAGUAAGACAACAGAAGGUGAUAAAAGGGAUGCAAACAGGAAAGGAAGAAGUCAAAGCAUCCUUAUUUGCAGAUGUUAUAUACCUUAAAGACUACAGAAAACUUUGUCAGCUGACAAACCUGUUAAGCAAAAGAGUAGGUUACAAAAUUAACAUGCAAAAAUCAGUAGCCUUGUUGUAUACCCAGAACAUACACACUGAGGAAAAAAAAGUAAAAUAUCUUGGGAUAAACCUAAUGUGUGUGUGUGUGUGUGUGUGUGUGUGUGUGUGUGUGUGUGUGUGUGUGUGCGCCUGUGCCUGUGCCUGUGCCUGUAUGUGUGUGUGCACACAUGUGCCUUUCCUACUGAAUGGAGGUCAGUAGCAUCACCUCCAUUCCCCCAGCACCCCCCGACUCUCCUUCCUUCUGUUUGGAUCUCAUCUCAGGUGUCUGCACAGCUCACCCCUCAACACCCAUAGACCCUGCUCACACUCAGCUGACAGCUCACCCCUCACAGCGUUAGACUCCAGCUCACACUCAGUGUAGCCCCAAUCCUUUCUCAGGGUGAGCUUUUAAGCACAUAAAACCAUAUCCAGGCUUGGCACACUUCAGUUAACGAGAACAGUUAGUCAGAAGCAGAACUACAGGAGGCAAAAGGCAAGGUGAGCACAUUUAGAGACUUUCCCAGCACAGUGGGCUUUGAUGGGUGUUGGGUUUGGUUUGGUUUGGUUUGGUUUGGUUUGGUUUGGUUUGGUUUGGUUGUGGCAGGUGGUGCUGUGUCUGUGCUGAGUUUUUUUUUUUUUUUUUUUUUUUUUUUGGUUCUUUUUUUUCGGAGCUGGGGACCGAACCCAGGGCCUUGUGCUCGCUAGGUAAGCGCUCUGCCACUGAGCUAAAUCCCCAGCCCCCUGUGCUGAGUUUUACCACCUGAAUGGCGCUUCCAUUGUGGAGUCAGCUGUGCUAAGGUCUAGGGGCCUGUUCCAGUUUGACACCAUUUUAAUAUCAUACGAGUAAAGUCUCUCCUGGCACAGAGCUUUGUAACUUGCCUAGACUUUCCAGCUUCCUCUUUCAUUUUGGAAAAACGUCUAGCUGACAGCCAUCUUAAACUGCACAUACAGAUCCUUCUAUACUAACAAUAUUCCCAUCUUCACUUCCCUUUAACAUUGUCUUCCCACAGUUGCACAGGAAAAGGCCCUUCUUUUUAGCCUUCUCACAGUGCUGAGAUAUUUUCUGACAUGGGAUGGUUAGCAGUCCAAGAAUACUGCUCGCCAAAGACUGUGGGGUCUCCAUAACUCAUGGGUGUGUCUUCCCCCAAGGACACUGUCUUAGUCAGGGUUUCUAUUACUGUGACAAAACACCAUGACCAAAAGCAAGUUGGGGAUGAGAGGGUUUAUUUGGCUUACACUUCCAGAUCAUAAUCCAUCACUGGAGGAAGUCAGAAGAACUCCAGCAGGGCAGGAACCUGAAGGCAGGAGCUGAUACAGAGGCCAUGGAAGGGUGCUGCUUACUAACUUGCUCCUCAUGGCUUGCUCAGCCUGCUUUCUUAUAGAAACCAGGACCACCUGCUCAGGGAUGGCUCCACACACAUUGGGCGGGGCACCCCUAUCAAUCAGUAAUUAAAAAAAAAAAGCCUUAUGGCCUGAUUUUAUGGGGGCAUUUUUCUCAGCCUCCGCUGCUUUCUCUCUGAUGACUGUAGCUUGUGUCAGGUUGACAUGUGGAACCAUCCAGUACAGACACUCUCCCGGAUAGAGUAUGAAGUCCUGGAUGAGCCCCUAAAUUGUUGGAAAAUGUAGCUGGUGACUCUGUCUUACUCAUUUAGUGGAAAUUCAAAUCAUAGUUGGACUCAGUUGCUAAAAUAAUUGUCAUGCUGGGGAAGGGUGUGAUAGGGGGUCAACUCUGAGGAAUGUGCAGGGACUGGGCGAACAGGAGCAUGCAAAGGAAUGUCACAGACUGGGUGAUGAAAACCCUGUUACGUGGUAAAACGUCUCACAUGUAGAUUAAUAUUCCUAGCUGGCUGUGAUGGUGCAUGGCUUUGGUCCCAGCCUUCAGUUGGGAGGCAGGCAGAUCUCUGAGUUUGCGGCCUUCCUGGCCACAACUGAGUUCCUGGAACAGCCAGAACUAUACAGAGAAACCCUGUCUCACAAUCACCAAAAUAAAUAAGUUAAAUAAAUAAAAAAAUCCUGCAGACGAAUGAGCUGCCUCACUGGGUAAUGUUGCUUGCACUGUAAUCAUGGUGUAAGGGUCUGAAGAUCACUGAAGGAAGACGCCAGACUCAGACGAUGUGGAAAAGCAGAGAGCAUUUACUCUGCAGAAACAACCAGCAUGUGGGGGUCAACCAUUUUUGAAACGGCGACCCCAGACAAAGGUGUUCAGACCUUCUUAUAGGGAACUGGGAGAACUUUCUAGAAGGCUUAGGUAAUCUAAAAUUUCAUUGGUGGGUGCUAGGGGCUCACAGGUGGUCAGUGGUCUGCAUUCCUACGUCACGACCGUUUAAUGGUAGGAUGGGAUAGAGCUGCCCAGCGCAGAUGGCCCGUUCUGAGAUGAGAUAUUUCCCCAUUCUGUGGUCAUCCCCAGGCUGUUCUUUGGGAACGGGUUUUAUGAUCUUGUUCCUGGAUUUUAUGGUCUGCUCCUGGAGCUGGUGUCUAUGGCCCUCUUUUUGAAAUCAGGCCUGGUCCUUACAUGGAGACAAACAGUGUUUACGUUGUUCUUUCAGGAGCAACCCAAGUCCAUAGGGUUAAAAAGAAAAAGCCCACACCACAGUUACCUUCAGAUCUCCAUACACAUACAGUGCCUACCCCCAUCAACUACAACUAAAGUAUUAUUUUAAAUUCAUUUAUUUUCUUAGUGUGUAUGUAUAAUAAGAACGAGCUAGUGUGCUAAGGGGAAAGCCCCUGAAGCACAGGGGAGGAGCGCAGUGGUCUUUUAUAGAAUAUAUACAUAGUAGUCACCUUGCCAGAGUUUAUAUAUCCUAGGAACAUACAAAAGGAUAUCAUAGACCAGGUGAAGGGGGUUCUCUCUCUCUCUCUCUCUCUCUCUCUCUCUCUCUCUCUAGCUUACAUAUAUGACAGUAUGUAUGUCUGAUGUCCAUUGAGGCCAGAAGAGGACAUCAUAUCCCUCGGGACUGGAGUUACAGAUGACUGUGAGCUGCGGCGUGCAAAACUAGGUCGUUUUGAAGAGCGGCAAUGCUCUUAACUACCAAAUCAUCUCUCCAGCUCCAAUCCAGACAUCUCUUGCCUUCUGUCAUGUGCUAACCUUGACGCAGACUUUUCAGCCUCUUCCCUCCUGCCGCAGGAGUUAGUGGGGCAGAGAUGCACAGGGAGACAGAGGGAAUCAGAAUGGAGGAUCGUGCAACGCUUGGUGGUGAGAAAAGUAGGAAAUGUGAGCAAGAGAGGAAAUCUGGACUACAUGAAGGACGCUGGACAUUCCCCAGGAGGAGGAAGAGCAGUUUCAGGAAGUUAAAGAUACCUUACAGGCGAUUCAGCUAGGCUCCUCCCACUCACCUAGCAACAGCUUAUGUCAUCACUUGCCCCCACCAGGUACAGGCUGUUUAUGAAAGGACUGCUUGCCGCCCCAGCUCUCUCUGUCUCUCUGUCUCUCUCUCUGUCUGUCUCUCUCUUUCUCUCUGUCUCUGUCUCUCUCUCUGUCUCUGUCUCUCUCUCCCUCCCCUUCCCUCCCCCCUUGUGUUCCUGGCAGAUCUUCCAGUCCUACCCCCUUUCUGUCCUGUCUCCCCCUCUUUCUCAGCCCUCACGGCUCUGCUUUCAGUCUAUAAGCCUGUCUGUGUGUCCUCCCUUCCCCCAAAUACUCCCCUGCCCCAGCAGAUCAGUUGCAUGGGGUGAUUUCUCAGGGGGACACCUUGGCAUGGGCCCACCAUGUACCCCCGGCCAAUUAUAUUUCAUAACAGGCAGUAAUGGGUGAAUGAAAAAAAUUAAGACAGGUCGGCUCCUGGGCAUGGACGAGGAGGUUUAUUGUAGAUAUGAGGGAAAACACAGCCAGAGGCAUCUGGAAGAGUCCGUACAGAAUGUACAGAACGUACAGAACAGAGCUGGACCAGCAGACUGAGGGGGAGAGUGAGAAAGGGAAAGAGGAACCAGGAAGCCAGAGGUCAGGAGUGACCCAGGAGACUAAGAGGACACAUAGCCAAAUGGCUGGGACAAGGGACAAGAAGCUCAGAGGAUAGAGAGGUUGAGGGUAGGGUGUAGGGUAAGAAGCACUGAGGGAGCCAAGACUGUAACAAGUGUUGGCUGAGCUGAGCCUGGCACCAGUGUCUGCUUUGAUGUGUGAAAAAGGCACUCUAGGAAGCCAUUGUCCUGAGUUUGAGACCCAGAGUCCCCGGCUUUUGUUAAGGAUAAAGGGGAGGCCUGGCGCAUUCUAUAACUACUUCCUGCUGACAUGGGGCUGGUGGGGAGGGUGCAGGAAGGCUGGUGUGGUGGCCCAAGGACAGGAAGAGAGGCCUGCAGGCUGGGAGACAUCUACUUCGCUAGCUGCUCAGAUUCUGUGGGACCACUUGGGGCUAGGGAAGUGGAGGCCAGCAUUGGUUCUGGAAUGUCCCUAGAGAUAGAGCCAAGAUUAUAACAUAGAGGUCACUAUCCCUCCCAGAAUUCCCCUAAUGUGAUUUCAAUAGGUCCUGCCAGCUCACCUUGGGACCUCUCCAUCUUUGUAGAUGGUAGACCCCAGCAUGCUGGGCUCCUGCAGACUAAAGCACUCUUUGCAUUUGCGUACCUGUGUGAGUCUGGGAUCAUUCUUCGUCAGAUCAUGGACCCUUACAAUGGUAUAGUGCGUGCUUUACUGGGCUAGAUGAAUAGCUUAUCCGAACUCCACUGAUUAGUAUUAAAACUCCUAGGGUGGGAAGUCUUAGUAUAACAAUAGCAGAGAGGGGAUGGGGGCAAAAAUCGGAAUCAUUUAAAAGCAUUUUUAGGCUUUAAUCCACUCUCUUACAACUUGCAUUGGCACAUCUUAAAAAACUUUUUUUAGACCCUCACAACUUAAGGUUUCAGGUCCUCAAACUUUUAUACCUUGCCUUUAUAUACCUUAGAACACUUUCGCAGACACUCAGAACUUACCGGGAGCUGUAAAAAGUUACAUUGAAACCAGUUUGAAGAAUUCAAAUUCAUUGGCUCAAAGUCAGCUGCGAAGGUAUAAACUGUGUGGUUUUCUCAGCAGAUGUCAGCUUGAGAAACAGUGAACAGAGAAGGUAGCUGCAGACUUGGGGAUGCACGGGUUGCUUAUUGCUGUUAGCAAAGCUACAGUUAGCCUAGCCCUCAAUGCCAUCAGAUACGUGAGACGUGUAAAUUACAGCAGGAAUAUAGUCCAAAUAGCCUAUCAAUUAAAAUGGCUCACAUGGACACGAUAGCUUCAUUGGGGACAGUGGUUGGUUUUGACUGUCAUACAGGAUAGCAUUAAAUAUUCAGCUACUCUCUACAUAGCAGAAUCAGUCCUUUUCUGUCAGACCCAGAAGGUCUGAGAGAUUUUCUUGGAGAGAAGGAACCUGGAAAAACUGACCUCAGUUUAACAAGGCACAGUAGGGCAGACACAACAGUUAAGGGUCUGGGAUCGUUCAGAGAGUUACCCAUCUGUCCAUUAAUACAUUUUAACGAAAAGAGACUUUUAUUCCUACACUAGUGCCAGGUCUACACCUGGGACUCUGGAUUUAAAAGCCACUUCAGGGGCUUUUUUUUUUUUGGUUCUUUUUUUUCCGGAGCUGGGGACCGAACCCAGGGCCUUGCGCUUCCUAGGUAAGCGCUCUACCACUGAGCUAAAUCCCCAGCCCCCACUUCAGGGGCUUUUAAAGGCAAAGUACACACAGUUACAUUCUGCCUCUAUACAAGCCGGAGGCCAGACCAGGCAAUUACAGUUCUUUUGAGCAUAGACAUUUUACACUUUUCAACAGAAAGUUAGCCAUCAGCCUAAUGUUAUCUACCACAAAGCCAAUAAUGUCCACAGUUUGGGCAGAGCCCUGGGCAGGUGAAGCAUGGGGUAGUUUCUCCCAGUGGUUAGUGUCACCACGGUUCAGAUAGAGUGGUCUUCUUUGGAGGUGACCUUAGGGGUGCCAUGAAGCACUUGCGAUCUUGACUCAUGGAUAGGCCAUUUUCAUUAGGCACUUUAAAUGCCACAUUCAGCAGAUUUCUGAGGAGUUUUUGAGUUUUAAUAAACUUUUUUUGCAUUUUAAUGAACUUUACAUGUUUCAGGCUUACCCUUGAGCGCAUACGCAGAAGUUGAAAUAAAUUACAUUUGUUCUUAUCAUGACUACAAGCCGAGUUCUGAGAACGUUAGUUUAUAAUUUAUAAUUUCAUUUAUAAGGAGACUGACUAUUAACCUGCGUGUCCUAAUUAUAGCUGAAAAGAAAUUAGAGUUCUUGAAUUGAAGCUAUUUUACUACCAGAAUAAAACUUUAAAUCAUAAAUAUACCUAACUCAAAGACUGGGGUGUUUAUAAAACCACACAUACAGUCCACAGAGAGAUUGGGAGCCUGACCUUCUUUUGGCCCUUCUAGGUGGGCCACCACAGGCUACCGCAGUGUUCUCGUAGGUCUCAGAUAUCUAAAUGGCUAAAGCUGAACAAAGUUAGCAGCAACAAAGAGGCCGGAUAUCCAACGUCAGGUGAGCUUCUGUUGUUCUGAAGAGACUUGGGUACAGAGGGCCGGUCCAUAGUGUUUGCCAAACUGCUUGGCCAUGGUCUCCCGGGAUCAUGAGAUAGGAGUAGCUCACUUCUGGGUGUUCCAGCUGUGGUCCUAGCUCUUUAGCCUCUCAUCUCCUCCCCGUACGUUAAAUCUUUCUGUUAUCCCUUCUAAUCCUAGUUCACUCUGUUUCUCAAGCCUCUGAUACCCUUCACCAUCGACAACACACAUCUCUGUUUCUCAGUGUGUCCACGGCCCUGGCCAUAUAUCCUAUCUCACAACCUUCUUAAACCUUCUUUUGAAAGCCAUGGUUUCAAUCGGAAGAUCCAACUAGGGAUGCCAGUCCCUGAUAGUGGUUGUCUGGUUGCCAUGAAAACCCAGCCAGAGGCAAGCAGCCCCACGCCAGGAGGUGACCUGGGCUGACUUUUCUUUUCUGACAAUCCUUACUUGUUUCUGCUUCUGGCAGCAUUUUCUGUCUUGGUUCUUUACACAGAUUUCCCAGGCCUAGUCCUCUGGGUCCCGAGUUGGUGUAUUCUAUUAGCUCAGGGGUGCAUCUCCCCAUAGUCCAAUACUUGAAGUGAAAACUACAAUUGGCAAAAUCACUAGAAGAAUCUUGGCGCGUACCCAACCGCUGACACUUGCAGACUCAGUGAAUUUUGAAAACAUUCAAGGACAGGCAUUUGGGUUUAACCUAUGACAUUAUUCUGAGGUAAAACUGACGUCCAGCAGACCUGUUAUUUAGCCAUUGUUCUUAAAAGAGGAAAGAAUUCCUGAACACAGCAAAGAAAAUCUCACCCACGCUGCUUUGAUUGACGACCAACAAUUGUUACAAUUGUUACAUACGUAACCAUCAUAGUCCCUCGGUGUUGUUUACUCAAUGUUGUUGUUGUUCAGGUCUCCUAUCCAGGAACAUUAUCACAAGGUAAAAGAGAAUUGCAUACGUCCCCUUUUCCAUUUGUUUAUUUCCCUGCAAUAUAAAUGCAUUUAAGUACUGCUUUAAUAUUCUAGUUAUCAAAUGUAUGUUGCUUCUAAAUCCUAAUUUUUAAAUAAACCUUGUUUUAAUGA
Molecule: non-coding RNA, 14039 nt
Organism: Rattus norvegicus (Norway rat)
Lineage: Eukaryota; Metazoa; Chordata; Mammalia; Rodentia; Muridae
Source: RefSeq, a predicted model, not a curated record